GCUUGCGGCCAUACCACCCUGUCUGUGCCCGAACUUGUCUGAUCUCAGAAACUAAGCAGGGUCGGGCCUGGUUAGUAUUUGGAUGGGAGACUGCCUGGGAAUACCAGGUUGACUGAGGAA
RNAcentral lists this ribosomal RNA (120 nucleotides) under Sinocyclocheilus anshuiensis. The record is from RNAcentral. Lineage: Eukaryota; Metazoa; Chordata; Actinopteri; Cypriniformes; Cyprinidae.